This 631-nucleotide ribosomal RNA is filed under the name Microbotryum silenes-saxifragae. RNAcentral describes it as "LSU rRNA". It matches the Rfam family "Eukaryotic large subunit ribosomal RNA", at positions 38 to 666 of the family's 3401-position model. Lineage: Eukaryota; Fungi; Basidiomycota; Microbotryomycetes; Microbotryales; Microbotryaceae. The record is from RNAcentral.
GCAUAUCAAUAAGCGGAGGAAAAGAAACUAACCAGGAUUCCCCUAGUAACGGCGAGUGAAGCGGGAAAAGCUCAAAUUUGUAAUCUGGCGCCUUGGGCGUCCGAGUUGUAAUCUCGAGAAGUAUUUUCCGCGCUGGACCGCACAUAAGUCUGUUGGAAUACAGCGUCAUAGUGGUGAGAACCCCGUAUAGGGUGCGGAUGCCCAGUGCUUUGUGAUAUACUUUCGAAGAGUCGAGUUGUUUGGGAAUGCAGCUCAAAUUGGGUGGUAAAUUCCAUCUAAAGCUAAAUAUUGGCGAGAGACCGAUAGCGAACAAGUACCGUGAGGGAAAGAUGAAAAGCACUUUGGAAAGAGAGUUAACAGUACGUGAAAUUGUUGGAAGGGAAACGCUUGAAGUCAGACUUGCAUUUUGGAGUUCAGCCGCAAGGUGUAUUCUUCAAUUUGCAGGCCAGCAUCAGUUUUUGGGGGUGGAAAAGCGUGGUUUGAAGGUAGCAGUCUCGGCUGUGUUAUAGCUUUCCACUGGAUUCACUUUUGGGGACUGAGGAACGCAGUACGCUUUUUGCAAGAUUCUCGGAUCUUUCGUACUUAGGAUGCUGGUGGAAUGGCUUUAAACGACCCGUCUUGAAACACGGAC